This 851-nucleotide ribosomal RNA is filed under the name uncultured Bacteroidota bacterium. RNAcentral describes it as "bacterial SSU rRNA". It matches the Rfam family "Bacterial small subunit ribosomal RNA", at positions 13 to 856 of the family's 1533-position model. Lineage: Bacteria; Pseudomonadati; Bacteroidota. The record is from RNAcentral.
UUGAUUCUGGCUCAGGAUGAACGCUAGCUACAGGCUUAACACAUGCAAGUCGAGGGGCAGCGGGAUUGAAGCUUGCUUCAAUUGCCGGCGACCGGCGCACGGGUGAGUAACGCGUAUCCAACCUUCCGUACACUCAGGGAUAGCCUUUCGAAAGAAAGAUUAAUACCUGAUGGUAUGAUGAGAUUGCAUGAUAGCAUCAUUAAAGAUUUAUCGGUGUACGAUGGGGAUGCGUUCCAUUAGGUAGUAGGCGGGGUAACGGCCCACCUAGCCAACGAUGGAUAGGGGUUCUGAGAGGAAGGUCCCCCACAUUGGAACUGAGACACGGUCCAAACUCCUACGGGAGGCAGCAGUGAGGAAUAUUGGUCAAUGGACGAGAGUCUGAACCAGCCAAGUAGCGUGAAGGAUGAAGGUCCUACGGAUUGUAAACUUCUUUUAUAAGGGAAUAAACCCUCCCACGUGUGGGAGCUUGUAUGUACCUUAUGAAUAAGCAUCGGCUAACUCCGUGCCAGCAGCCGCGGUAAUACGGAGGAUGCGAGCGUUAUCCGGAUUUAUUGGGUUUAAAGGGAGCGCAGACGGGUCGUUAAGUCAGCUGUGAAAGUUUGGGGCUCAACCUUAAAAUUGCAGUUGAUACUGGCGUCCUUGAGUGCGGUUGAGGUGUGCGGAAUUCGUGGUGUAGCGGUGAAAUGCUUAGAUAUCACGAAGAACUCCGAUUGCGAAGGCAGCACACUAAUCCGUAACUGACGUUCAUGCUCGAAAGUGUGGGUAUCAAACAGGAUUAGAUACCCUGGUAGUCCACACGGUAAACGAUGGAUACUCGCUGUUGGCGAUAUACUGUCAGCGGCUUAGCGAAA